Molecule: ribosomal RNA, 474 nt
Filed under: uncultured bacterium
Lineage: Bacteria
Description: SSU rRNA
Rfam family: Bacterial small subunit ribosomal RNA
Source: RNAcentral
GGGACGAACGCUGGCGGCGUGCUUAACACAUGCAAGUCGAGCGGAAAGGCCCUUCGGGGUACUCGAGCGGCGAACGGGUGAGUAACACGUGAGCAACCUGCCCUUAGCUCUGGGAUAGCUCCGGGAAACCGGAAUUAAUACCGGAUAUGACCUAGGCCGACAUCGGCCGUGGUGGAAAGUUUUUCGGCUAGGGAUGGACUCGCGGCCUAUCAGCUAGUUGGUGGGGUAAUGGCCUACCAAGGCGACGACGGGUAGCCGGCCUGAGAGGGCGACCGGCCACACUGGGACUGAGACACGGCCCAGACUCCUACGGGAGGCAGCAGUGGGGAAUCUUGCGCAAUGGGCGAAAGCCUGACGCAGCGACGCCGCGUGGGGGAUGAAGGCCUUCGGGUUGUAAACCCCUUUCAGCAGGGACGAAGCGAAAGUGACGGUACCUGCAGAAGAAGCGCCGGCUAACUACGCGCCAGCAGCCGC